This 549-nucleotide ribosomal RNA is filed under the name uncultured Glomeraceae. RNAcentral's name for it is "SSU rRNA". It matches the Rfam family "Eukaryotic small subunit ribosomal RNA", at positions 548 to 1098 of the family's 1831-position model. The record is from RNAcentral. Lineage: Eukaryota; Fungi; Glomeromycota; Glomeromycetes; Glomerales; Glomeraceae.
UUGGAGGGCAAGUCUGGUGCCAGCAGCCGCGGUAAUUCCAGCUCCAAUAGCGUAUAUUAAAGUUGUUGCAGUUAAAAAGCUCGUAGUUGUAUUUCGGGGUCAGUAGGUUGGUCAUGCCACUGGUAUGUACUGGUCUCACUGAUUCCUCCUUCCUGAUGAGCUGUAAUGCCAUUAAUUUGGUGUUGCGGGGAAUCUGGACUGUUACUUUGAAAAAAUUAGAGUGUUUAAAGCAGGCUAACGCUUGAAUACAUUAGCAUGGAAUAAUGAAAUAGGACGUUCGAUCCUAUUUUGUUGGUUUCUAGGAUUGACGUAAUGAUUAAUAGGGAUAGUUGGGGGCAUUAGUAUUCAAUUGUCAGAGGUGAAAUUCUUGGAUUUAUUGAAGACUAACUACUGCGAAAGCAUUUGCCAAGGAUGUUUUCAUUAAUCAAGAACGAAAGUUAGGGGAUCGAAGACGAUCAGAUACCGUCGUAGUCUUAACCAUAAACUAUGCCGACUAGGGAUCGGAUGAUGUUAAUUUUUUAAUGACUCAUUCGGCGCCUUACGGGAAAC